RNAcentral lists this small nuclear RNA (107 nucleotides) under Pan paniscus (pygmy chimpanzee). Lineage: Eukaryota; Metazoa; Chordata; Mammalia; Primates; Hominidae. The record is from RNAcentral.
GUGCUCACUUUGGCAGCAUAUACACUAAAAUUGGAACAAUACAGAGAAGAUUAGCAUUGUCCCUGAGCAAGCAUGACACACAAAUUCAUGAAGCAUUUCAUAUUUUA